RNAcentral lists this small RNA (593 nucleotides) under Pongo abelii (Sumatran orangutan). RNAcentral's name for it is "processed transcript". The record is from RNAcentral. Lineage: Eukaryota; Metazoa; Chordata; Mammalia; Primates; Hominidae.
GCGGGGAAACAGGAGUUAGGAUGGCUGGGGGGGAUACCCACCGGCUGAAGGCCGACUGUGAUUCCCUCUACCCCCACAAGGCGAUUUUGACCUCCUGAGGGCUGCUCUAGAGGACUCAGGCCCCGAAGCUGUCCCAGGGAGGUCCCCGCUGCAUCCCAUCACCCAAACUGUGCCUCAUGGAGUCGAUGUUUAGCAGCCCUGCCGAGGCGGCGCUGCAGCGAGAGGCCGGGAUGCCAGGACUGCUCACUCCUCUUCCGGACCUGGACCGAGUGUACGAGCUGGAGCGAGUCGCUGGAUUUGUCCGCGACCUGGGGUGUGAACGAGUUGCCUUGCAGUUCCCUGACCAGCUAUUGGGAGAUGCUGUGGCUGUGGCUGCACGACUGGAGGAGACGACAGGGUCAAAGAUGUUCAUUCUGGGUGACACAGCCUACGGCAGGUGUGAACUUGGCCUUAGGUGGGCCAGGCCUGGGGAUCCGGGGCUCAUGGGGUUUUACUUCUAUGACAGUGAUUGCCUUCAAUGGUGGUGUUUCUCCUUGAUGAUAAUGCUGCUGCGUGGAUGUGCUGGGUGCUGAGCAAGCUGGAGCUCAGGCUGU